This 383-nucleotide ribosomal RNA is filed under the name uncultured cyanobacterium. RNAcentral's name for it is "bacterial SSU rRNA". It matches the Rfam family "Bacterial small subunit ribosomal RNA", at positions 376 to 774 of the family's 1533-position model. The record is from RNAcentral. Lineage: Bacteria; Bacillati; Cyanobacteriota.
CGAAAGCCUGACGGAGCAACGCCGCGUGAGGGAUGAAGGCCUCUGGGCUGUAAACCUCUUUUAUCAAGGAAGAAGAUCUGACGGUACUUGAUGAAUAAGCCACGGCUAAUUCCGUGCCAGCAGCCGCGGUAAUACGGGAGUGGCAAGCGUUAUCCGGAAUUAUUGGGCGUAAAGCGUCCGCAGGCGGCCCCUCAAGUCUGCUGUUAAAAAGUGGAGCUUAACUCCAUCAUGGCAGUGGAAACUGUUGGGCUUGAGUGUGGUAGGGGCAGAGGGAAUUCCCGGUGUAGCGGUGAAAUGCGUAGAUAUCGGGAAGAACACCAGUGGCGAAGGCGCUCUGCUGGGCCAUCACUGACGCUCAUGGACGAAAGCCAGGGGAGCGAAAG